This 206-nucleotide ribosomal RNA is filed under the name uncultured bacterium. RNAcentral describes it as "partial 16S ribosomal RNA". It matches the Rfam family "Bacterial small subunit ribosomal RNA", at positions 568 to 774 of the family's 1533-position model. The record is from RNAcentral.
AGCGUAGACGGAUGGACAAGUCUGAUGUGAAAGGCUGGGGCUCAACCCCGGGACUGCAUUGGAAACUGCCCGUCUUGAGUGCCGGAGAGGUAAGCGGAAUUCCUAGUGUAGCGGUGAAAUGCGUAGAUAUUAGGAGGAACACCAGUUGCGAAGGCGGCUCUCUGGACUGUAACUGACACUGAGGCACGAAAGCGUGGGAGCAAACA